Molecule: unclassified non-coding RNA, 369 nt
Filed under: Hevea brasiliensis (rubber tree)
Lineage: Eukaryota; Viridiplantae; Streptophyta; Magnoliopsida; Malpighiales; Euphorbiaceae
Source: RNAcentral
AAGAGAAGAAGGUAUUACAGACGUAAAAAAAACCCAAAACAACAAAGAAAUUCGGUGGACAGAAUUUCCAAUUUGCCAAUUGAAAUCAUCCGUGAAAUUCACUUUCGCCUUCCACGGAUCGAUGCAGUGAAAACUAGUAUUUUGUCCAAAAAAUGGCAAAGCAUUUGGGCAUCUCAUCCUAGAAUUUUUUUGGACGAAAUUGAUUUUGGUGCCGACUAUUCACGAUACAGUGUUGCAGAUAAACCUAAAAGAGAUUCCUUCUUAACUUACUUGAUAAAGUCCUUAGAAAUCCGUCAGAAGCCCUCUGAAUACAAUUGUGAUGUCGACAAACUCUGUCUUCGAAUGACAGUUGAAAAUUCUCCUGCUGAA